RNAcentral lists this ribosomal RNA (408 nucleotides) under uncultured bacterium. RNAcentral's name for it is "bacterial SSU rRNA". It matches the Rfam family "Bacterial small subunit ribosomal RNA", at positions 29 to 480 of the family's 1533-position model. The record is from RNAcentral.
AGCGAACGCUGGCGGCAGGCUUAACACAUGCAAGUCGAACGGGCGUAGCAAUACGUCAGUGGCAGACGGGUGAGUAACGCGUGGGAACGUACCUUUUGGUUCGGAACAACCCAGGGAAACUUGGGCUAAUACCGGAUAAGCCCUUACGGGGAAAGAUUUAUCGCCGAAAGAUCGGCCCGCGUCUGAUUAGCUAGUUGGUGAGGUAACGGCUCACCAAGGCGACGAUCAGUAGCUGGUCUGAGAGGAUGAUCAGCCACAUUGGGACUGAGACACGGCCCAAACUCCUACGGGAGGCAGCAGUGGGGAAUAUUGGACAAUGGGCGCAAGCCUGAUCCAGCCAUGCCGCGUGAGUGAUGAAGGCCCUAGGGUUGUAAAGCUCUUUUGUGCGGGAAGAUAAUGACGGUACCG